UGAGGAAUAUUGCACAAUGGGGGAAACCCUGAUGCAGCAACGCCGCGUGGAGGAUGACGCAUUUCGGUGUGUAAACUCCUUUUAUAAGGGAAGAAAAUGACGGUACCUUAUGAAUAAGCACCGGCUAACUCCGUGCCAGCAGCCGCGGUAAUACGGAGGGUGCGAGCGUUAAUCGGAAUCACUGGGCGUAAAGCGCACGUAGGCGGUGUCGUAAGUCGGAUGUGAAAGCCCUCGGCUCAACCGGGGAACUGCAUUCGAUACUGCGAUGCUUGAGUGCCGGAGAGGGUGGCGGAAUUCCAGGUGUAGGAGUGAAAUCCGUAGAUAUCUGGAGGAACACCAGUGGCGAAGGCGGCCACCUGGCCGGCAACUGACGCUGAGGUGCGAAAGCGUGGGGAUCAAACA
RNAcentral lists this ribosomal RNA (402 nucleotides) under uncultured prokaryote. Its description in RNAcentral is "bacterial SSU rRNA". It matches the Rfam family "Bacterial small subunit ribosomal RNA", at positions 355 to 774 of the family's 1533-position model. The record is from RNAcentral.